AUAUUUUUCUAAAAACUGGAACGAUACAAAGAAGAUUAGCAUGGGCCCUGCCCAAGGAUGACACUCAAAUUCGCGAAGCGUUCUAUAUUUUUCUAAAGAGAGAAGAUUAGAAUGGCCACUG
Pipistrellus kuhlii (Kuhl's pipistrelle) is the source of this 121-nucleotide long non-coding RNA. RefSeq lists it as uncharacterized. The transcript is spliced from 4 exons. NCBI's taxonomy places the organism in Eukaryota, Metazoa, Chordata, Mammalia, Chiroptera, Vespertilionidae. The record is from RefSeq and is a predicted model, not a curated record.